RNAcentral lists this ribosomal RNA (260 nucleotides) under uncultured bacterium. RNAcentral describes it as "partial 16S ribosomal RNA". It matches the Rfam family "Bacterial small subunit ribosomal RNA", at positions 793 to 1055 of the family's 1533-position model. The record is from RNAcentral.
GUCCACACAGUAAACGAUGAAUACUCGCUGUUUGCGAUAUACAGUAAGCGGCCAAGCGAAAGCAUUAAGUAUUCCACCUGGGGAGUACGCCGGCAACGGUGAAACUCAAAGGAAUUGACGGGGGCCCCGCACAAGCGGAGGAACAUGUGGUUUAAUUCGAUGAUACGCGAGGAACCUUACCCGGGCUUAAAUUGCAGUGGAAUGAUGUGGAAACAUGUCAGUGAGCAAUCACCGCUGUGAAGGUGCUGCAUGGUUGUCGU